RNAcentral lists this ribosomal RNA (490 nucleotides) under uncultured bacterium. Its description in RNAcentral is "partial 16S ribosomal RNA". It matches the Rfam family "Bacterial small subunit ribosomal RNA", at positions 30 to 507 of the family's 1533-position model. The record is from RNAcentral.
AUUGAACGCUGGCGGCAGGCUUAACACAUGCAAGUCGAGCGGUAGCACGGGGGAGCUUGCUCCCUGGGUGACGAGCGGCGGACGGGUGAGUAAUGUCUGGGAAACUGCCUGAUGGAGGGGGAUAACUACUGGAAACGGUAGCUAAUACCGCAUAACGUCGCAAGACCAAAGAGGGGGACCUUCGGGCCUCUUGCCAUCAGAUGUGCCCAGAUGGGAUUAGCUAGUAGGUGGGGUAAUGGCUCACCUAGGCGACGAUCCCUAGCUGGUCUGAGAGGAUGACCAGCCACACUGGAACUGAGACACGGUCCAGACUCCUACGGGAGGCAGCAGUGGGGAAUAUUGCACAAUGGGCGCAAGCCUGAUGCAGCCAUGCCGCGUGUGUGAAGAAGGCCUUCGGGUUGUAAAGCACUUUCAGCGAGGAGGAAGGUGGUGAGCUUAAUACGUUCAUCAAUUGACGUUACUCGCAGAAGAAGCACCGGCUAACUCCGUG